Molecule: small RNA, 684 nt
Filed under: Pongo abelii (Sumatran orangutan)
Lineage: Eukaryota; Metazoa; Chordata; Mammalia; Primates; Hominidae
Description: processed transcript
Source: RNAcentral
UUUGCGGCCGGCCGCACAGCUGCUGACGCGUCGGGAGGUGGAGCCUAGGGAAGCAAAUUCUCCUGGCCGCCUCAGUUCAGACGCGGCUACUGUGACCCACCUGCCUCCUCCGCAGAGCAAUGGCGGUGUCUGCCCGGUCCGCGCGGACCUCGCCCGGCUCAGAUAAAGUACAGAAAGACAAGGCUGAACUGAUCUCAGGGCCCAGGCAGGACAGCCUAAUGGGGAAACUCUUGGGUUUUGAGUGGACAGAUUUGUCCAGCUGGCGGAGGCUGGUGACCCUGCUGAAUCGACCAACGGACCCUGCAAGCCUGGCUGUCUUUCGUUUUCUUUUUGGGUUCUUGAUGGUGCUAGACAUUCCCCAGGAGCGGGGGCUCAGCUCCCUGGACCGAAAAUACCUUGAUGGGCUGGAUGUGUGCCGCUUCCCCUUGCUGGAUGCCCUACGCCCACUGCCACUUGACUGGAUGUAUCUUGUCUACACCAUCAUGUUUCUGGGUGAGGGGAACUGUGGGAAAUAUUGACUGGCCUGCCAGAAACACAGAAAUAGAAGCAUGCUGGUGAAUGGUCAAAGUCUUUGGCACCUUAUUUCACUUCUGCUGUGAUCAAUUUCAUGCUGUUGACCUGUGUGUCACUUAAGCUGUGAUCCCAUAAUUCUUUUUAAAAUAUUAAAAUAACAUUUAAUUUUCA